This 490-nucleotide ribosomal RNA is filed under the name uncultured bacterium. RNAcentral describes it as "partial 16S ribosomal RNA". It matches the Rfam family "Bacterial small subunit ribosomal RNA", at positions 30 to 507 of the family's 1533-position model. The record is from RNAcentral.
AUUGAACGCUGGCGGCAGGCCUAACACAUGCAAGUCGAACGGUAACAGUAAACAUCUUGCUGUUUCGCUGACGAGUGGCGGACGUGUGAGUAAUGUCUUGGAAACUGCCUGAUGUAGGGGGAUAACUACUGGAAACGGUAGCUAAUUCCGCAUAACGUCGCAAGACCAAAGAGCUGGACCUUCGGGCCUCUUGGCAGCGGAUGUGCCCAGAUGUGAUUAGCUAGUAGGUGGGGUAACGGCUCACCUAUGCUACGAGCCCUAGCUGGUCUGAGAGGCUGACCAGCGACCCUGGAACAGAGACACGGUCCAGACUCCUACGGGAGGAAGCAGUGUGGAAUAUUGCACAAUGGGGGCAAGGCUGAUGCAGUGAUGCCGCGUGUAUGAAGAAGGCCUUCCGGUUGUAAAGUACAUUAAGCGGGGAGGAAGGGAGUAAAGUUCAUACCUUUACUGAUUGACGUUACCCGCAGAAGAAGCACCGGCUAACCCCGUG